RNAcentral lists this ribosomal RNA (253 nucleotides) under uncultured bacterium. RNAcentral's name for it is "partial 16S ribosomal RNA". It matches the Rfam family "Bacterial small subunit ribosomal RNA", at positions 524 to 776 of the family's 1533-position model. The record is from RNAcentral.
UACGGAGGAUCCAAGCGUUAUCCGGAUUUAUUGGGUUUAAAGGGUGCGUAGGCGGCCCGGUAAGUUAGAUGUGAAAGCCCGUGGCUCAACCACGGAACUGCCUCUAAUACUGCUGGGCUAGAGAAUAGUUGCUGUUGGCGGAAUGUGUAGUGUAGCGGUGAAAUGCUUAGAUAUUACACAGAACACCGAUUGCGAAGGCAGCUGACAAAGCUAUUUCUGACGCUGAGGCACGAAAGCGUGGGGAGCAAACAGG